GAUGUAGCUUAGUGGUUAGAGCGUGCGGUUUUCAACCGCAAGACGUCGGUUCGAUUCCGGCCGAAAACA
RNAcentral lists this transfer RNA (69 nucleotides) under Pythium arrhenomanes ATCC 12531. RNAcentral's name for it is "tRNA-Glu for anticodon UUC". The stretch from base 3 to 63 matches the Rfam family "tRNA", at positions 6 to 65 of the family's 71-position model. Rfam says of the family: Transfer RNA (tRNA) molecules are approximately 80 nucleotides in length. Their secondary structure includes four short double-helical elements and three loops (D, anti-codon, and T loops). The record is from RNAcentral. Lineage: Eukaryota; Oomycota; Peronosporomycetes; Pythiales; Pythiaceae.